RNAcentral lists this microRNA precursor (165 nucleotides) under Oryza brachyantha (malo sina). RNAcentral describes it as "MIR812 microRNA precursor family". It matches the Rfam family "MIR812 microRNA precursor family", at positions 27 to 193 of the family's 205-position model. The record is from Rfam by way of RNAcentral. Lineage: Eukaryota; Viridiplantae; Streptophyta; Magnoliopsida; Poales; Poaceae.
UAUAAUGUUUGACUCUUCGUCUUAUUUGAAAAGAAAUUACGAUUAAUAUUUUUAUUUUUAUUAGAUGAUGAAUCGUGAAUAGUACUUUACGUGUGACUAUUUUUUUAAUUGCUUGAAUUUUUUUACAUAAAACGGAUGGUCGAACGCUGUACACGAAAACCAAAG